UCUCCGUUGGUGAACCAGCGGAGGGAUCAUUAUAGAGUUUUCUAAACUCCCAACCCAUGUGAACUUACCAUUGUUGCCUCGGCAGUAGUUGCUGGGCGAGCCUACCCGGGAACGAGCUACCCUGUAGCGAGUUACCCUGGAACGACUUACCCUGUAACGCCUGCCGGUGGACUACUAAACUCUUGUUAUUUUUAAAGUAAUCUGAGCGUCUUAUUUUAAUAAGUCAAAACUUUCAACAACGGAUCUCUUGGUUCUGGCAUCGAUGAAGAACGCAGC
This 276-nucleotide unclassified non-coding RNA is filed under the name uncultured fungus. RNAcentral describes it as "sequence contains ITS1, 5.8S rRNA gene". The stretch from base 228 to 276 matches the Rfam family "5.8S ribosomal RNA", at positions 1 to 49 of the family's 154-position model. The record is from RNAcentral. Lineage: Eukaryota; Fungi.